RNAcentral lists this ribosomal RNA (350 nucleotides) under Bos taurus (domestic cattle). Its description in RNAcentral is "similar to 16S ribosomal RNA". It matches the Rfam family "Bacterial large subunit ribosomal RNA", at positions 585 to 1068 of the family's 2925-position model. The record is from RNAcentral. Lineage: Eukaryota; Metazoa; Chordata; Mammalia; Artiodactyla; Bovidae.
GCAAAGAUUACCCCUUGUACCUUUGCAUAAUGAAUUAACUAGUAUAAGACUUAACAAAAUGAAUUUUAGCUAAGCAGCCCGAAACCAGACGAGCUACUCACAAACAGUUUACCAAGAACUAACUCAUCUAUGUGGCAAAAUAGUGAGAAGAUUUGUAAGUAGAGGUGACAUGCCUAACGAGCCUGGUGAUAGCUGGUUGUCCAGAAAAUGAAUCUAAGUUCAGCUUUAAAGAUACCAAAAAUUCAAAUAAACCCCACUGUAGCUUUAAAAGUUAGUCUAAAAAGGUACAGCCUUUUAGAAACGGAUACAACCUUGACUAGAGAGUAAAAUUUAACACUACCAUAGUAGGC